UCCAGACUCCUACGGGAGGCAGCAGUGAGGAAUAUUGGUCAAUGGCCGAGAGGCUGAACCAGCCAAGUCGCGUGAGGGAUGACGGCCCUACGGGUUGUAAACCUCUUUUGCCGGGGAGCAAAGAGCGGGACGCGUCCCGCCUCGAGAGUACCCGGAGAAAAAGCAUCGGCUAACUCCGUGCCAGCAGCCGCGGUAAUACGGAGGAUGCGAGCGUUAUCCGGAUUUAUUGGGUUUAAAGGGUGCGUAGGCGGAACAUUAAGUCAGCGGUAAAAUCGAGGGGCUCAACCCCUUUAAGCCGUUGAAACUGGUGAUCUUGAGUGGGCGAGAAGUAUGCGGAAUGCGUGGUGUAGCGGUGAAAUGCAUAGAUAUCACGCAGAACUCCGAUUGCGAAGGCAGCAUACCGGCGCCCAACUGACGCUGAAGCACGAAGGCGUGGGUAUCGAACAGGAUUAGAUACCCGAGUAUCG
This 467-nucleotide ribosomal RNA is filed under the name uncultured bacterium. RNAcentral describes it as "bacterial SSU rRNA". It matches the Rfam family "Bacterial small subunit ribosomal RNA", at positions 330 to 793 of the family's 1533-position model. The record is from RNAcentral.